Molecule: ribosomal RNA, 471 nt
Filed under: uncultured bacterium
Lineage: Bacteria
Description: SSU rRNA
Rfam family: Bacterial small subunit ribosomal RNA
Source: RNAcentral
AGGAUGAACGCUGGCGGCGUGCCUAACACAUGCAAGUCGAACGUCCUGUCUCGCAAGAGGCAGGGAGUGGCGGACGGGUGAGUACCACGUGGGUCAUCUACCGUGAGGUGAGGAAUACCGGCGAGAAAUCGCCGACAAGACCGCAUAGGCUCGAUGCAAGUCGAGCAAAGCUCUUUCGAGAGAGGGAGCGCCACACGAGGAGCCUGCGCCCGAUUAGCUAGCUGGUGGAGUAACGGUUCACCAGGGCGACGAUCGGUAGCUGGUCUGAGAGGACGAUCAGCCACACUGGGAUUGAGAACGGCCCAGACUCCUACGGGGGGCAGCAGUGAGGAAUUUUCGUCAAUGGGGGCAACCCUGAACGAGCAACGCCGCGUGCAGGAAGAAGGUUUCGGAUCGUAAACUGCUUUUCUCGGGAAGAGAAUGGACGGUACCCGAGGAAUCAGCCCCGGCUAACUACGUGCCAGCAGCCGC